Molecule: non-coding RNA, 2216 nt
Organism: Oryctolagus cuniculus (rabbit)
Lineage: Eukaryota; Metazoa; Chordata; Mammalia; Lagomorpha; Leporidae
Source: RefSeq, a predicted model, not a curated record
AAGGUUCCCUAGGCAUGCUGGGAAGAUGAUAACACCUCAGGCUGAAGAAGAGUGCACCAAGCUUGACUGAGCAGAGAAGUGAUUAAUGCAGUGUUUAAAGAAGAGCUUUAUGGUCAUGGCGUACCAGCGGGAUUGCACUGGGCAAAACUGGAGGCUAUCCAGUCAUUCCAUGCUAUGGUUUGAAUAUGCUUUGUCUGCUCCAAAACUCAUAUUGAAGUUUAACCCCCUGUGUGAGGUAUUAACAGGGUGGAAACUUAAUCUGAAUAUUGCUUUUAGAGGUGGAGCCUUGUGGGGGGGAGUGAUUAGGAUUAGAUAAAGUCAUCAGGUGGAGACUGUCUAAGAAUAGGGAGAAGCCAGAGGAGGUACGUGCACAUGCUCCAUAGGUCUCCCCAUGUGAUGCCCUCCGCUGCCUUGAGGCUCUGCUGGCAAGAAGACCAUCCCCAGAUGUGGCCCCUUAACCUUGGACCUUCGGAACUGUGAUCCAGAAUAGACCUCUUUUCUUUGAAACCCAUCAAGUCUGUGGUAUUGUGCUAUGAGCAACAAAAAACGGACUGCCACAUUCCAGGAAUAUUGAGUCUUCUUGUCACAUUUGAAAAAUGUCAACUGCUUAUGUUUUUAUUUCACAUGUUUAUUUUAUUUUUCCUUGUUCUCAUUUUAUUGUUUUGAUGUCAACUUUAUGCUUGUUGCUUACACGUAAUAAUUCAACACUACAUGAAAAUCCUGUCCUGUGGAGGACAGGGAGAAGAUAUAAGCACAAGAGAAGUACAGGAGAAGGAAGUGAUGAAGCCUUGUGAAUUACAAGAUCCACAACUGAGACAGCGGAUCAGAUACUGCUUAAACAAACCUGCUUCCAGGCAGAAGAGGAAAACAACUGCAGUAUUCCAGCCUUCUUUUGGGCCAGGGCAUGGACAUAUCACCCAGUUCUGGCUCACAAUUUCUAAAGGAAGUCUCCUAGUAUAGAAAUCCUUAAGAAAGACACAUACAUUACAAAACUGCUCUUCUUUCUUUUCUCUGAGUAUGUCUGGGUAAAGACAUGGUAUGUGGAGACACAUCAGCCAACGUGGAACCCUGAGAGGAGAAAGCUGAAAGUGAAAGCCAACACACUGAAGGAUGUCCCAGCAGAAAAGUGAUGGGAAUGCCUGAGUCCUUGAUGACUUCAUCUCAACUUCAACUAAAUAAACAAUAAAUUUCUGUAUGAUUUGAGCUACAGGUGAUCCUAAACUUAAGAUGGGCUCACAAGAGAUGUGCAGUUCGGGACAUGCUCAAGCUGACUUACCUCAAACGGUGGAGUUAGAAACAUACCAGGGGAUUCGAAUUCAAUCCCAUCGAGGUGGCAUGUACCAAUGCCAUCUCACUAGUCCCAGUGAUCAAUUUCUGUUCACAAUUGAUUGUAAUGAUAGGACUAAGAACCAAAGGGAUCACAGAAACAAGACUAGUGUCUGCAAAUACUAGCUGAUAGAAUAAAAAAGGGAGAGAAUGAUCCAACAUGGGAAGUGAGAUACACAGCAGACCCAUAGAAUGGCAGAUGUCCUAAACAGCACUCUGGCCUCAGAGUCAGCCCUUAAGGCAUGCGGAUCUGGCUGAAAUGCCCAUGAGAGUAUUUCAGGCAUGGAAAGCCAAGACACUCUGGGGGGGAAAAAAAAAAAACCUAAAUGAAAGAUCUCCGCGAGUGAGAUCCCAGUGGAAAGAACGAGUCAUCAAAGAAGGAGGUACCUUUCUCUGAAGGGAGGAGAGAACUUCCACUUUGACCAUGGCCUUGUCUAAAUAUGAUCAGAGUCAGUGAACCCAGGGGGCUUCCAUAGCCUUGGCAGCUCAUGACAAGAGCCUAGGGUGAUUACUGAUGCCAUAAACAGGAGUGUCAAUUUGUAAAGUCAACAACAGGAGUCACUGUGCACUUACUCCUCAUGUAGGAUCUUUGUCCUUAGUGUGCUGUACAUUGAGAUUUAAUGCUAUAACUAGUACUCAAACAGUAUUUUUCACUUUAUGUUUCUGUGUGGGAGCAAACUUGAAAUCUUUACUUAAUGUAUGCUAAACUGAUCUUCUAUAUAUAAAGAGAAUCGAAAAUGAAUCUUGAUGUGAAUGGAAGGGGAGAGGGAGUGGGAAAGGGGAGGGUUGCGGGUGGGAGGGACGUUAUGGGGGGGAAGCCAUUGUAAUCCAUAAGCUGUACUUUGGAAAUUUAUAUUCAUUAAAUAAAAGUUAAAAAUAAAUAAAUAAAU